CACACUCACUACUGUAAGUCGCUCUGGAUAAGAGCGUCUGCUAAAUGACAUAAU
Molecule: non-coding RNA, 54 nt
Organism: Salmo salar (Atlantic salmon)
Lineage: Eukaryota; Metazoa; Chordata; Actinopteri; Salmoniformes; Salmonidae
Source: Rfam